UACGGGGGGGGCAAGCGUUGUUCGGAAUUACUGGGCGUAAAGGGCUCGUAGGCGGCCAACUAAGUCAGACGUGAAAUCCCUCGGCUUAACCGGGGAACUGCAUCUGAUACUGGAUGGCUUGAGUUCGGGAGAGGGAUGCGGAAUUCCAGGUGUAGCGGUGAAAUGCGUAGAUAUCUGGAGGAACACCGGUGGCGAAGGCGGCAUCCUGGACCGAUACUGACGCUGAGGAGCGAAAGCCAGGGGAGCAAACGGG
Molecule: ribosomal RNA, 253 nt
Filed under: uncultured bacterium
Lineage: Bacteria
Description: partial 16S ribosomal RNA
Rfam family: Bacterial small subunit ribosomal RNA
Source: RNAcentral